This 1037-nucleotide long non-coding RNA is filed under the name Pogona vitticeps (central bearded dragon). RNAcentral describes it as "lncRNA (ENSPVIG00000004933.1)". Lineage: Eukaryota; Metazoa; Chordata; Lepidosauria; Squamata; Agamidae. The record is from RNAcentral.
UGGCAUUAAAUUGGCAAUAAACUCUCAAAGAGUUGGGUAAGGUAAAGAUUGAGCUGCUGGUGUUUCGCUGAUGACUACAAUUAAUUUUCUUAACGCCAACAGGUCAAUAAUGUUUACAGAUAUGGGACCUGACGCGUUUUCCUUACCGAGAGGGUCCGGGCCAGGAUAGCUCCCUCAGGCAGGGCACAAGGGAUCGAUGGCGCUCCUCAGAUCUCAUCUGACCCCCCCCCCCCAGCCCAGCCCAAUCUGCCCGGAGCAAAAUCAACGAGGGGAUCUCCUCCUCUUAGAGGGAGAAAACAACCGGGACCUGAACCCCCCUUUCUCCUGGCUCAGCAUCAGAUCAGCCUGGGAGGACCCGGUGGGGGUGACGGCUCAAGGCGCUUUGGCACCCAGACCAAGAGGCCGGUUCUCCUCCGAGGGAGGAGCGGGAGGAAAAGAGCCAAGCCAUUAAGAAAUAGCCUGGACCCUUCAGAACGCCCUGGAGAAAAUCGUACGCUGCGCUCCGACUUUCUUGCUACGGAAAGGGGCUCCGGGCACGAAGUGCAGAUGGAAUCUGGAUCGAGCCCGCCCCGGACCUUUACCUUCCUCGCAGGCGACAGCGGCUCUUGCAACCCUCCUCCCUCGGCGUCCCCUGCUCCUUGCGCUUCCUUCGUUCUUGCUGGUUUUCUACCUCCGCUGGCUUUCGAAAGCGAAAGCGACAGCGGCUGGAGCCGGGCGAAUGGUGUCCCCGCCCUGGCCAGCAGUUCGAUUCCCGGAAGAGGCUGCAGUUCCCCGCCGAUGCGGGAGCGAGUUUAUCAAGAGUUUGUUGGCUUUUCGGGUGGGUCUUGCCUCGGUUCUCCCCUUUUAUGGGGAUGUGAGUAGAGCAGCAGAAGGAAGGAAGGAAGGAAGGAAGGAAGGAAGGGAAAGAAGGAAAGAAAGAAAAAAGGAAGGAAGGAAGGAAGGAAGGAAGGAAGGAAGAAAGAAAGAAAGAAAGAAAGAAAGAAAGAAAGAAAGAAAGAAAGAAAGAAAGGGGCUGGGCUCAAUGAUCCUUCCAUAGG